Molecule: unclassified non-coding RNA, 357 nt
Filed under: soil metagenome
Description: partial contains 5.8S ribosomal RNA, internal transcribed spacer 2, and large subunit ribosomal RNA
Rfam family: 5.8S ribosomal RNA (bases 1-119)
Source: RNAcentral
GAUGAAGAACGUAGCGAAAUGCGAUAAGUAAUGCGAAUUGCAGAAUCCGUGAAUCAUCGAAUCUUUGAACGCACAUUGCGCCCGCCAGUAUUCUGGCGGGCAUGCCUGUCUGAGCGUCAGUUCAACCCUCACAACCGGCUUUCUUGCUGGAUGUGGUGUUGGGGAUCGGCUGCCUUUCUUCUAGGUGGCCGGCCCCGAAAUAGAGUGGCGGUCUCGUCGUGGCCUCCUCUGCGUAGUAGCAAUAUCUCGCAGGCGGAGAGCGGCGUGGCUAUGCCGUAAAACACCCAACUCUUCUAAGGUUGACCUCAGAUCAGGUAGGAAUACCCGCUGAACUUAAGCAUAUCAAUAAGCGGAGGA